RNAcentral lists this ribosomal RNA (430 nucleotides) under uncultured Rhizobiaceae bacterium. RNAcentral describes it as "bacterial SSU rRNA". It matches the Rfam family "Bacterial small subunit ribosomal RNA", at positions 956 to 1382 of the family's 1533-position model. The record is from RNAcentral. Lineage: Bacteria; Pseudomonadati; Pseudomonadota; Alphaproteobacteria; Hyphomicrobiales; Rhizobiaceae.
GCAACGCGCAGAACCUUACCAGCUCUUGACAUUCGGGGUAUGGGCAGUGGAGACAUUGUCCUUCAGUUCGGCUGGCCCUAGAACAGGUGCUGCAUGGCUGUCGUCAGCUCGUGUCGUGAGAUGUUGGGUUAAGUCCCGCAACGAGCGCAACCCUCGCCCUUAGUUGCCAGCAUUCAGUUGGGCACUCUAAGGGGACUGCCGGUGAUAAGCCGAGAGGAAGGUGGGGAUGACGUCAAGUCCUCAUGGCCCUUACGGGCUGGGCUACACACGUGCUACAAUGGUGGUGACAGUGGGCAGCGAGACCGCGAGGUCGAGCUAAUCUCCAAAAGCCAUCUCAGUUCGGAUUGCACUCUGCAACUCGAGUGCAUGAAGUUGGAAUCGCUAGUAAUCGCAGAUCAGCAUGCUGCGGUCGAAUACGUUCCCGGGCCUU